CCAGAGUAAAGGCUCAGUAGAGGAAACACAGAAAAUCCAAGCUUACGCUGACACAUGGAACUAGAUAAAAAUGGAACCAUUUGAAGAAAAGGCGUCCAUCAUAAAUAAGGACUGUGUACAGAAACUCUGCUCACGAUGGGAAACCACCAUUUUCCCACAGAACUGGAAUGAGCAAAGAACUGAAGUCAGCCCUAGGGUUUUACUCUUUGUGGGAUAAUCUUCUUUUAAUAAUCUUUUUUUUUCCCUCCUUCCAAAAAUGGCACCAGUCCCUUGGAGAUAUUAAGGAUUUUCAAAAUCUUUGGUAGAAUCAGUGUGGCUCUAGAAUCCGUUGCUCUGGGACGCCAUCAAGUCUGUCAACAGAAAAUGGGAAAUGUCCACACCCAGGUGCCAAAGCAGAAGGUCUGCGCAGCGGGGUUCAGUGUGAGCUCCCCUCACAUGUGCCAACGUCUUCUGGGUUCAGGGCUGCUGUAGACUACGUGACAAACACGCCCAAACUCACCCAUUCGUCAAACAGCAUCCACGACCCUACCGUCACCUUUAUUCCUAAUACUAUUCCUGUGACCAACAUUUAUUCCUAAUACAGACCUGCUACUCAAACUAGUUUUGCAACCACCUUGACAUAUCCUCAGUGGUGGUUACUUUUACCUGUUUAAGUUCAAAGAAUGAGCAUUUUUGGAAGUGUCUAAGAGACAUUUGGGGUCAAGCCUGGUGCCUAACUAGACGAUCAAGCUGAGUAACACCAUCAUUUGGUUUUCAAAAUACCUGCUGCAUAUUAUCACAGGCAUGGAAAGUCCCCUUUCUCAUUAGGCUUUUCUGCAGGCACUUCCCAAAGAGGACUCGUUUUCUGCAGGCACUUCCCCCAAAAUUAUCUUGAGCUGUAGCAGCAUGUAAGGAAACUGCACUUACAUUUCCCAUGAAAGUAUGGAUCACCCACGUUAGAACCACAGGGUCGGAGGAGUUUGCUAAAAUGCAGAUUUUGGAGCCCCAUCUGGACCUAUGAGGAAAUGAAACUGGAUCCACAGAUGGAGAACAACCAGGGAGGCUGACAAGGCCUCUGAUGAGACUAGAGGACAAGAGAAGCCACCGUGGGAGAAGCAGGAGGCCCAGUGCUCGAGGCAGCGGGAAGGAACACAGAAGACUCUGACCUGAAGAUGUGUUUCAAGACUAGAAAGGAGGCCUGCACAGUGGGAGCCCCUGGGUG
RNAcentral lists this long non-coding RNA (1201 nucleotides) under Equus caballus (horse). RNAcentral describes it as "lncRNA (ENSECAG00000058964.1)". Lineage: Eukaryota; Metazoa; Chordata; Mammalia; Perissodactyla; Equidae. The record is from RNAcentral.